This 492-nucleotide ribosomal RNA is filed under the name uncultured bacterium. Its description in RNAcentral is "partial 16S ribosomal RNA". It matches the Rfam family "Bacterial small subunit ribosomal RNA", at positions 30 to 507 of the family's 1533-position model. The record is from RNAcentral.
AUUGAACGCUGGCGGCAUGCUUUACACAUGCAAGUCGAACGGUAACAGGCCUUCGGGUGCUGACGAGUGGCGGACGGGUGCGUAAUGCAUCGGAACGUGCCCAGAGGUGGGGGAUAACGCAGCGAAAGCUGUGCUAAUACCGCAUGUGAUCUGAGGAUGAAAGCGGGGGACCAGGCAGCAAUGUUUGGCCUCGCGCCUUUGGAGCGGCCGAUGUCAGAUUAGGUAGUUGGGGGGGUAAAGGCCUACCAAGCCGACGAUCUGUAGCUGGUCUGAGAGGACGACCAGCCACACUGGAACUGAGACACGGUCCAGACUCCUACGGGAGGCAGCAGUGGGGAAUUUUGGACAAUGGGCGCAAGCCUGAUCCAGCAAUGCCGCGUGCGGGAAGAAGGCCUUCGGGUUGUAAACCGCUUUUGUACGGAACGAAAAGUCUCUGGCUAAUACCUGGCUCUGAUGACGGUACCGAAAGAAUAAGCACCGGCUAACUACGUG